UGUAGUCAUGGGAGUGUGGAAUAUAGCUGCAGGUAAAGAUGUUAAGGAAACAAUACCAAAGGAAAACUCUUCGGCUAAAGUUGAUGUUAUGGAGCUAUAUCUUAGCUCCAUGGCGUCGGUGAGACAAUUUGCUUCCAAAUUCGAGUAGUAAUAAUGUAGGAGUCAUGUCAUGUCCCUUCAUGCUUUCCCAUGACAAUAUAGAGAUGCAGUUUGCGAAAAACCAUCUAGGUUUGCAACAUGAUUCUUUUCAGGAAGUAAUAAUGAGGGAGUCAAGGGUGCCGUAGAGACAUUGGCAUAAAGCAUCAACCAGCAACAUGACAUUGGUAUCCCAUUACGUGGGCUAUCUUGAAAAGGGUCAAAUUCCAACCAAGCCUUGUAGCCAUGGAGUUUGAGUCUAAUUUGAAGGAAGCGACGAGUGACGAUACCAAUCACUUAUUCACUGGUAAGUCAUAUUCAUCAUCACAACUACAUGCCACUACUGGGUCAUAAGAUUAGUGAUGUGGUUAAAUGCACGAUAGAUGCAGCUAAGAUGCUCCCAUCUACAAUCUUAUUCUAAUUCAGUGUUGAGUGCUUUGGUAUUCUGACUUCAUAGUUGCUAUGGUAUUUAUGUAAUUGUUUUCACAUUUGGAAAUUCAGUGAUAGUAGUUUGUUGAAUUUGUAAAAUGAAGACGGUUAAUAAUGUUUACCCAAUUUAAGUUUUUUUGAUAGUUCUGUUGGAUUAAUAUGAUUUCCAAAUGAACAGGGUAACUUGAUUUUGUGGCAGGGAAUUAUAAUUU
Papaver somniferum (opium poppy) is the source of this 776-nucleotide long non-coding RNA. RefSeq lists it as uncharacterized. The record is from RefSeq and is a predicted model, not a curated record. The transcript has 4 exons. Lineage: Eukaryota; Viridiplantae; Streptophyta; Magnoliopsida; Ranunculales; Papaveraceae.